UACGUAGGGUGCAAGCGUUAAUCGGAAUUACUGGGCGUAAAGCGUGCGCAGGCGGUUUUGUAAGUUUGUCGUGAAGGCCCCGGGCUCAACCUGGGAAUGGCGAUGAAGACUGCAAGGCUAGAGUGUGUCAGAGGGGGGUAGAAUUCCACGUGUAGCAGUGAAAUGCGUAGAGAUGUGGAGGAACACCGAUGGCGAAGGCAGCCCCCUGGGAUAACACUGACGCUCAUGCACGAAAGCGUGGGGAGCGAACAGG
RNAcentral lists this ribosomal RNA (253 nucleotides) under uncultured bacterium. RNAcentral's name for it is "partial 16S ribosomal RNA". It matches the Rfam family "Bacterial small subunit ribosomal RNA", at positions 524 to 776 of the family's 1533-position model. The record is from RNAcentral.